Molecule: transfer RNA, 75 nt
Filed under: Candidatus Saccharimonadota bacterium
Lineage: Bacteria; Candidatus Saccharimonadota
Description: tRNA-Thr
Rfam family: tRNA
About the family: Transfer RNA (tRNA) molecules are approximately 80 nucleotides in length. Their secondary structure includes four short double-helical elements and three loops (D, anti-codon, and T loops).
Source: RNAcentral
GCCGAGGUAGCUCAACGGCAGAGCACUCCCUUCGUAAGGGAGGGGUUGCGGGUUCAAAUCCCGCCCUCGGCUCCA